CAAAUGAAAGAACAUUUAAUAUUUUGUCAGUAAACUAACAAGUGAAAUCUACAGGGUUAUGGCAACAAAAAAGUUUAUUGUUCCAGGUAGACCCAAAGUCUAUAAAUAUAGAUUGGGAACAUUUAAACAAUGGACAGAAGUAGGAGGAGCAGGAGGAUAUCAGUGUGGAAUACUACUAUUAGAAGGAGCAGGAGGAAGUAGAGGAGUAACAGGAGGAAGUAGAGGAGGAAC
Paramisgurnus dabryanus is the source of this 231-nucleotide non-coding RNA. The record is from RefSeq and is a predicted model, not a curated record. NCBI's taxonomy places the organism in Eukaryota, Metazoa, Chordata, Actinopteri, Cypriniformes, Cobitidae.